RNAcentral lists this ribosomal RNA (115 nucleotides) under Schizosaccharomyces osmophilus. The record is from RNAcentral. Lineage: Eukaryota; Fungi; Ascomycota; Schizosaccharomycetes; Schizosaccharomycetales; Schizosaccharomycetaceae.
ACGGCCACACCUAGGCGAAAACACCAGUUCCCGUCCGAUCACUGCAGUUAAGCGUCUGAGGGUCUCGUUAGUACUAUGGUUGGAGACAACAUGGGAAUCCGGGAUGCUGUAGACU